Molecule: ribosomal RNA, 253 nt
Filed under: uncultured bacterium
Lineage: Bacteria
Description: partial 16S ribosomal RNA
Rfam family: Bacterial small subunit ribosomal RNA
Source: RNAcentral
UACGUAGGGUGCGAGCGUUGUCCGGAAUUAUUGGGCGUAAAGAGCUCGUAGGCGGCUUGUCACGUCGGAUGUGAAAGCUCGGGGCUUAACCCCGAGUCUGCAUUCGAUACGGGCUAGCUAGAGUGUGGUAGGGGAGAUCGGAAUUCCUGGUGUAGCGGUGAAAUGCGCAGAUAUCAGGAGGAACACCGGUGGCGAAGGCGGAUCUCUGGGCCAUUACUGACGCUGAGGAGCGAAAGCGUGGGGAGCGAACAGG